GAAAAACAUCCCCACAGCAUGAGGCUGCCACCACCAUGCUUCACUGUUCAAUCAUUGUCUCAUCAGACCAGAGUAUUUUGUUAUCAUGGUCUGAGAAUACUUCAGGUGCCUUUUGGCAAACUCCAGGUGGGUUGCCAUGUGCCUUUUACUAAGGAGUGGCUUCCCUCUGGCCACUCUAC
Thalassophryne amazonica is the source of this 179-nucleotide long non-coding RNA. RefSeq lists it as uncharacterized. NCBI's taxonomy places the organism in Eukaryota, Metazoa, Chordata, Actinopteri, Batrachoidiformes, Batrachoididae. The transcript has 3 exons. The record is from RefSeq and is a predicted model, not a curated record.